Molecule: non-coding RNA, 87 nt
Organism: Paracoccidioides brasiliensis Pb18
Source: the annotation of a RefSeq genome assembly
GCAUCAUUGGUCUAGUGGUAGAAUUCAUCGUUGCCAUCAACCUUUGGGGAAUUCGAUGAGGCCCGUGUUCGAUUCACGGAUGAUGCA